AUUGAACGCUGGCGGCAUGCCUUACACAUGCAAGUCGAAUGGCAGCACGGGUGCUUGCACCUGGUGGCGAGUGGCGAACGGGUGAGUAAUACAUCGGAACAUGUCCUGUAGUGGGGGAUAGCCCGGCGAAAGCCGGAUUAAUACCGCAUACGAUCUACGGAUGAAAGCGGGGGACCUUCGGGCCUCGCGCUAUAGGGUUGGCCGAUAGCUGAUUAGCUAGUUGGUGGGGUAAAGGCCUACCAAGGCGACGAUCAGUAGCUGGUCUGAGAGGACGACCAGCCACACUGGGACUGAGACACGGCCCAGACUCCUACGGGAGGCAGCAGUGGGGAAUUUUGGACAAUGGGCGAAAGCCUGAUCCAGCAAUGCCGCGUGUGUGAAGAAGGCCUUCGGGUUGUAAAGCACUUUUGUCCGGAAAGAAAUCCUUGGCUCUAAUACAGUCGGGGGAUGACGGUACCGGAAGAAUAAGCACCGGCUAACUACGUG
This 486-nucleotide ribosomal RNA is filed under the name uncultured bacterium. RNAcentral's name for it is "partial 16S ribosomal RNA". It matches the Rfam family "Bacterial small subunit ribosomal RNA", at positions 30 to 507 of the family's 1533-position model. The record is from RNAcentral.